AGCAGCCGCGGUAAUUCCAGCUCCAAUAGCGUAUAUUAAAGUUGUUGCAGUUAAAAGCCCGUAGUUGAAUUUCGGGAUUGGCGCAUCGGUCGUGCCUCACGGGGUAUGAACUGGUGCAGUCAAUUUCUCACCUUCUGGAGAACCGCGAUGUCCUUAAUUGGAUGCCGCGGGGAACCAGGACCUUUACUUUGAAAAAUUAGAGUGUUUAAAGCAGGCAUUUUUGCUUGAAUACAUUAGCAUGGAAUAAUAAAUAGGACGGCAUGGUUCUAUUUUGUUGGUUUCUAGGACCACCGUAAUGAUUAAUAGGGAUAGUUGGGGGCAUUAGUAUUCAAUUGACAGAGGUGAAAUUCUUGGAUUUAUUGAAGACUAACUACUGCGAAAGCAUUUGCCAAGGAUGUUUUCAUUAAUCAAGAACGAAAGUUAGGGGAUCGAAGACGAUCAGAUACCGUCGUAGUCUUAACCAUAAACUAUGCCGACUAGGAAUCAGACGAUGUUAAUUUUUAAUGACUCGUUUGGCACC
Molecule: ribosomal RNA, 520 nt
Filed under: uncultured Entrophospora
Lineage: Eukaryota; Fungi; Glomeromycota; Glomeromycetes; Entrophosporales; Entrophosporaceae
Description: SSU rRNA
Rfam family: Eukaryotic small subunit ribosomal RNA
Source: RNAcentral